UCCAGAGUAGGUACACAGCAGAGGCAACACAAGGUUCCCCACAUUGCCCUGCAAGGGGCCUUAGACUCUCACCCAGAAUGACCAGUUCUCAAGA
This 94-nucleotide small RNA is filed under the name Nothoprocta perdicaria. RNAcentral's name for it is "TUC338 (ENSNPEG00000009102.1)". The record is from RNAcentral. Lineage: Eukaryota; Metazoa; Chordata; Aves; Tinamiformes; Tinamidae.